CAUUACCUGAACACAGAGCCUUGCCUGUACUGUUGUCCUGUGUUUUGAAUGAAGACGGACACUGGGAAGGAUUUUCAAUUGGCCUGAGGCAGAGCGAGUCAGGAAGGCUGAGUCCCUCUUCAGCAGCAGUCUGAAGAUAAGCCAUGCCACAGUGGAGAUGUGGCAUUGUGCAUCAAUUUGGAGAGCACCAGAGGUCAGGAGGACAGGUUUGAAUAUUUCCCCCAGCAGUUCUGCCCUCUGUGAGUAUACCUGUGGGUUCACACCCUGUGUUGUGAUGGUUUUCACCAGGUGGAGGAAUUGGUUCCCACGUUCAUAGUUCAGAACAGUCUUUUCAAAUGAAAAACUUUCACAGAAAGAACAGCAUAAGCAUUGAAAGACAGAAUCAAAUGCACAAGUAUUGAGCACAGACACUUUUGAUGUGCGAAGUUUAACAGGCUGUUGAUGGUUCCCGUUUUUCAACAAUGGUACCUUGACUUUUUUCCAGCCCACUUGUGUAUCAAUAUGCAGCCAUUCAGGACAAGGAGAGAGAUAUGAAGUUGUCUUUCUUUUUUUCGGUGGGACCGCUAAACCUCUCCAGUUUUCAACUGCACUCUGCGGAACUUGCAGUGAUGCUGGUGCUUUUGAAGAGAGGGACCAUUAUUGCUGUCCAGAGUGGCAAGCAGUCCCAUCGGCAGAUCAUCU
Molecule: long non-coding RNA, 681 nt
Organism: Syngnathus acus (greater pipefish)
Lineage: Eukaryota; Metazoa; Chordata; Actinopteri; Syngnathiformes; Syngnathidae
Exons: 4
Source: RefSeq, a predicted model, not a curated record